CAUUUUUGGAUAUUAAAAAUCAGAGCUUAUGACAAUGAUCGGGUGCAUUCUACCACUGGAACACUAACUGUCAUUUUACAGGAUGUAAAUGAUAACCCACCACAGUGUACUCAGGACCGUUAUGUAAUUGAACUUCCUGAAAAUCCACUUGAAACUCGUUUAGUGUCUUUAAUUUGUACUGAUAAGGAUGGAACGGAUCCCAAUAAUAACAUCACUUAUCACUUGAUCGUGGACAAAUUUUCAAAUGAAAUAUUUACCCUCACCAACAAUGAAAUAAAAAUUGGGCCUAAACAACUGAAUUAUGAUAAUUUUGUUCUUGCUGGGAUGCAAUUUAAAUAUACUCUUUUUGUAAGAGUAUCUGAUGGAGGCACUCCAGAAUUAUCAAGAAACACAAACAACUGGUUCACGCUAGAGAGACCAGGUGUUGAUCCUCCUUCUUUGGCCACCACUGAGAAUUUCCAGUAUGAUGUGUUUCAAGGGAUUCAAGAUCCCACUACUUUCCAGCUACUUAUUGAAGUUACUGAUGAAUUAGGUGGGCAUAAAGCUAGUCAGCUGUCAACCACUACAACCGUAAUAAUUCAUAUGUUGCCCUGGACUACCACUCAGCCAACUAUAGCCACAAAAACAACAAUUACAACAACAGUUACUACAUCUAUAUUAAUGAGAAUUUCACAUUAUUGGAGCCCUGAUAAUUGGAUUUCUGCAGUGAUAACUAUAACAGUGCUCCACGCUGUUCAAGAUUCUUUCCCAGUUGUGACCAGCAUCAAAUGAGCCAGCCAAGUGUUACGGCUAAGGAAAUCAUCCAGAUGCCAAGGAACAUGGACUCAUUUAAUAGUCAACAAAAGUCAAAUCCAAAGCCAAC
Phascolarctos cinereus (koala) is the source of this 862-nucleotide long non-coding RNA. The record is from Ensembl. NCBI's taxonomy places the organism in Eukaryota, Metazoa, Chordata, Mammalia, Diprotodontia, Phascolarctidae.